Carassius auratus (goldfish) is the source of this 3129-nucleotide long non-coding RNA. The record is from Ensembl. Lineage: Eukaryota; Metazoa; Chordata; Actinopteri; Cypriniformes; Cyprinidae.
AUUCUCCGCACCAAACCGAAGAGUGUGGCACCAAUACGCCUGAAGUUGUGAGCGAGAAGCUGCAGCGUGAUGGAGGUUGAGAAUAAAGAAGCAACCGAGAGCCCUGUGCCCAACGGCAGCACCCACCCACCCAAACGUGGACGAGGCAGACCACGAGGGUCUCUCAAUAAGAAGUUCCCUACCGAGAAAGCGCCGACACACAAUGCCAGGCCGUCUAAGAAGGUGGACUUCUUUUCUCCUGACAUAGUCAUAAAGAACAAGGUGAAGAAACGUGGUCGACCAAAGAAGUUAAAAAUGCCUGGCAGGCCAAGAAAGAUCCCGCUCACGCCUGAGGAAGAAUCUGAGAGACUUCAGAGGAUGAGUUUACAGCGCAAGCGGAGACUGUCAAAGCCGCUCGGAAGACCACGCAUUCAUCCCAUCACUGAAGGAUCCAAGGCUAAAAGCGCCAAACAAGCUGGUGUUGAUAUCAGCCUGGAUGCCUCCAACGGUACUCCACGAAAGAGAGGGAGGCCGGCGGGCUCGUUGAAGAGAAAGAGGGGUCGGCCCGCAGGUUCUACCAAGGUUGCCAAGAUCGCCAGGGCCUCAGAUGGAACCCCAAAAAGGAGAGGCCGCCCCCCAGGCUCUCCCAACAAGGUGAAGAAGAUUCAGCGGGCUGACGGUUCUCCUCGCAAGAGGGGCCGGCCCCCAGGCUCUGGCACCAAACUGAAGGUCAUUCAACGAAACCCAGAUGGAUCUCCUCGCAAGAGAGGCCGACCUCCAGGUACCGGAAAAGUCAAGGCGCAUGCUGGAGAAGGUGGAGAGACAGGAGGUGAGAACGCAGAUGGCGCUGCUCCACGUCGAAAGAGAGGACGUCCAAGCAAAGUCAGACUCGAAGUCAUGCUCGAAAAACUCCCCACGGCAGCAGCAGAAGAAGAUGAAGAGGAGACCGACGCAACCUCUCCCAAACAGUCUCGCACCUCUGAUAAUUCGUCGCAAAAUCCAAACAAUGAUGAGGAAGACACCAGGGCGAGCGAGAACGACGCAGACCCAGAAGAGGACGCCAUUGAUUGUUCAAAAAAAAGAAAUGAAAAGAUAAGGGGCUUCGUUGAAAAUUGGUGGGAAUAUUUUUUGAAGGGGUUUAAUAGGCUAUGUCAAUUUUUUUUUUUAUUUUUUUUUUAAAUCUGACAAAGUAUGCUCUUGAUGUUGCCUGCCAUCCCAGACUGUAUUUUUUAUUUUUCUCUCUCUCGCUUUUAUUUUGAAGCUCAUUAACUGAUCGUUUGCUCACUGAUUGAGCACAAUUGUUUUUUGUUUUGUUUUUUUUGCAUGGGGAAAACUAUUUUGUUUGCAUAAUAAUUUUAAGCAUGCAAACUCGAAGGACAAGUAUGUAGCCUGUAAAAAUCAUGGGGUCUAAAAAGAUGCUGCACAAUUAAUGGUUCCAUUGAAAACGUUUCCAUGCUAAGCACACCUUAUUUGUUAACAAUGGCUUGUGCCAAUUAUUUCAGAGCAACUACCAAACCAGACGGUUUCAGAUGUAGUAUCCUUAUACCUGUGCAGUAGUCCAUGUGCACAGGAUUUCAAAGUAACCGAGGCAGAUUUUUUUAAUUUAAAUUGCCCAGACGGUUUUUAGUUGAUGUAGUCGUGGCUGUGAAACCUGCAGCUUUUUCGAGGAUGAUGGUUAAGUGCAUUUUUGCUGUAGUUUUAUUUCUUUUAUCAUCGUCGCUUCAUUCAUACGUCAACUCUCUAAAUUCAGUCCCGCCGAGUUCAGUGUUUUAUAGUGAAACGGUCUUAUUUUAUGCUUCGUAUCAGAUCUUUGUCUGAUAGUUCGGUAAUAUAUAGGUGUCGAGUGAUUAGUUUACGACAACCCCUCGUUUUUGCUAAAAUAUUGUGAUUGCUUUGUUUUUAAAGACAUGCUGUUGUUUUUAAAAAUGUGAAAACAUACAAAACUCUGCUUUGAUAGUAGGCCCAUGGGUCCCGGUUUUUAAUUUUCAUAUCAUUUAUGGCUUUUUAUAUACAUUUCUUGUUGCUCCUGUCUUUUUGUACUUUUUCUCCUGUAACCGUUUUUUUGUUUUCUCCUUGAUUUGCUUAGUUUGUGUAAAAGCGUAGACUUCUCUUGCUCUAAACCGUAGAUCUUGUCUUGAUUAAUUUUCAUGUAUGAUUUAGCAGUAGCUGCUGAAAACAGAUUGUUUUAGCUGAGAUCUUGCAAAUCUAGAAAUGUUCUUUCAUGUUAAUAAAACAGUUACUGUUCAAACAUGAUUGUUCAGUAGACAUUAAGUGCAUUUCAUGUACACGCUUUUUAAUUAGGUUACUCAUUUGUGCUGUAGUACGAAAGAUUUCUGUAUUACCGCUUUGUAUAAUUCAUUUCACUCUGUGAUUUGGAUGAGCAUUGUUUUGUGAUUAAUAACCAAUUAAAUCAUACCAUAUUCACCAAGUGUGGUUGUGCUCUUCAUUUACUACAGUUGCAUGUGAUUUGAAUUAAUCCAACUCUCUUUUAAGAGGUAACUUUUCUUCUGUUUCCCCAUCCAUUCACAGAAAAAAUAAAACUACACAGUGGAGGAGCGAGUAACAGCAUCAGCACUUUAUUAGAAUCAGCACAUGGUGGGCAAGCAGACAUGCUUUAAAAUGAACCACGAGUUAGCAGCUUGGCUUCAAAUGCUCGGGGACAGGAACUGGUAUUUUAUGCAUCUCUGCAGCACAUAUUUACAAGUUGCAUAUAACACAUGUAGACAUUUUUUUUUUUAUUUUUUUUUUAAGGGAAUAAUGUUCACUGCCCUGCAUUAGGUUUGCAGUUUAGGUUAAUGAUGAAUGUAGGGGAUAUUAUUCACAAAUGAUCAUCUUGCAUUAAAUUCUACAUCAACAGAGAGCAAAUUUUCAUAGUUUUAGGUGCUGGACAAUAUGUCCUUAAUACCAAAAGAAUGUCCAGUUAAACCUACAAUCACUAUAAUGAAGGUGGUUAAAGUGCCCAUGUAUAUUUUACACAAACACAUGCAGAGUUACAUCCCUGAACAUUGUCUUCUCCAGUGCUGAUUAGGUAUCUGCUCCCACACUGAAUCCCGAAUAUUUACAAAUACAUUAAUCUACUCCUGUUAUUCUUCAUUUUGCAUAUCAGCAGUAGUUCACUCAACCCAAAGACAUCAUGUUGCCAGUAAAGUC